UCUUGAAAUUUAAAGAAUUUGGCGGUAAUCUAGUCAGUUUGGAGGAACCUGUUUUUUAAUCGAUACACCCCGAAAUAUCUUACUUACCUUUGAGGUUUGUAUACCUUCAUUAUCAGAUAAUUUUUAAAAAUUAUUAUUUUAAUCUUAAAAUUAAGAGAAAAUUAGAUCAAGGUGCAGUUUUAUAGGUAAGAAAAAAUGGGUUACAUUAUUUAGAAAUUUUGAACAAAUUUUUGAAAUAGAGUUUUGAAAUUGGAUUCAAUUGUAAUUUAGAUUUAAUAAGCUUAAAUGGUAAGUGCUCUAGAUUAUGUACAUAUCGCCCGUCGCA
This 325-nucleotide ribosomal RNA is filed under the name Praebebalia longidactyla. RNAcentral describes it as "partial 12S ribosomal RNA". Lineage: Eukaryota; Metazoa; Arthropoda; Malacostraca; Decapoda; Leucosiidae. The record is from RNAcentral.